RNA transcript from Pecten maximus, 2718 nucleotides. It is a transcript of the gene named pantetheinase-like, with no coding region annotated. Lineage: Eukaryota; Metazoa; Mollusca; Bivalvia; Pectinida; Pectinidae. The transcript has 3 exons. The record is from RefSeq and is a predicted model, not a curated record.
UACCGACGAUUCGAGGAAAGUACGGGUCCAAUGUCACGCGGGGAGUGUUUAAUGUAACGAUAUAUUUGUCGAUUCUAAACCGGAACAGAAAAAAACAUGUCUGCAAAGUUCUUGUUCUUUUACCUUGUCCUCGCCAAUAUUGUUGCGGGAUUACCGUUUCAAAAUAAUAACAAAACUACGUUCCGUGCCGCCGUGUUUGAGCAUGCGGUAACUCUUUUCCCGCCUAAUUCUGUGGUGACAAGACAGAAAGCCCUUGGAAACAUGAUGCUGAAUCUGAAGGAAUACAAACGCCAAGCUGAACUAGCGGGGGAUCAGGGCGUCGACAUAUUGGUAUUCCCUGAGAAUGGUAUAUUUGGACUUGGCCUUUCGAGAGAGGAUUUAGCACCAUAUCUCGAAAAUAUCAUUGACCCCGAAAAAGAAGUUUGGAAUCCGUGCGAAGACCCACAAAAGCAUCCAAACACAGAGGUCCAACAGUACCUUAGUUGUUUAGCUAAGAACAACUCGCUUUACAUUGUCGCAAAUUUCGGAGAUCGCCAACCCUGUGAUGAGUCGCUUGACCCAAAUUGCCAAGUUCAGUACCAGUUGAACACUGAUGUCGUAUACGACAAGCGCGGUGUUUUCGUUGCCAAGUACCAUAAAAUUAAUCUGUAUUUCGAAAAGGCUUUCGACUUUCCGCCUGUUGAUAAAGCAGUAACGUUUGACACUCCGUUCGGUGUAUUUGCCUUGGCAGUUUGCUUUGACGUUCUUUAUUAUGACCCGCUCGUUGACCUGAUUACCAACCACGGUGUACGCAAUGUUGCAUUUCCGACUGCUUGGAUGGACUCGCUCCCUUUUCUGGCUGCCAUAGAGUUUCACUCGGCGUUUGCAGCUGGCCUGGGUGUAAAUUUCCUUGCUGCUAACAUCAACUACCCUCCAAAGAGGUUUCACGGCAGUGGAAUAUACUCUCCACAGGGAGCGAAACAAUUCGUUUACAACGACCAAGAAGCCGCUGGAAAAUUACUUAUAAGUGACCUACCCGUCAUUCACAAACAAGACGAUGUUAUGCCCCCACCGCGGACACCGACGUUGAAUGCGCCUCAGAUGACAGAACCUAUAUAUAGAACAAAAUUACAUUAUGAUCUAUACAACAUAACACUGCUUUCUGGAACCUCGGGUCAUGUCACGGUGUGUCAUAGGUCAAUAUGCUGCCAGCUGAACUACAUCAGAGACAAUACUGAUGAGGUAUUUGCAUUCGGUGCCUUUGACGGCCUACAUGGUACUACCGGGAGGUAUUAUAUGUACCUACAGGUAUGUACAUUGCUCAAAUGUUCCGGAAACGGAAGUGACAGCUGCGGAGUAAGAACUAAGAAUUCUAAGACUUUGUUCCACAGUGUCCACAUCACUGGCUACAAUUUCACCGCUCACAUCUACCCCGAAGUCCUCUUAACUCGAAAUGGAUCACUGGCGCUCUCCGUGGGGAGAUGGAAGUAUAACAAUGGAGUACUUAACGCGCCGACUGGAUUCGAGGCACCUCUGGUGGCAACGAGUUUAUAUGGAAGACUUUAUUCCAUUAAUGACACCAACGGACGUGAAUCCUGGUACCCAAUAAAUCGCGACAAGUCUGAUCUUCACAAUUCCAAUCAUGGUCAGCGUAGAGAGUAUUGUUUGAUAUGUUUGAUAGUGACGUAUCUAUUCACCUUAACGUUGGCUAAACUUUCGUAGACUUUUUGACAUAGAAUUUAGUGAACAAAAAGAUGAUGACUGUCACUUGUAAUCUUGUGUGACUCAUACAUAUAAGGAACUUUGUGAUGAACAAUUCCAUUCGAAAAAAGUGACGGAGCCUACAAUACAAUCGUGUUGUCACACGACGUAAGACGAGGUCAUGGUGUAUGGACGGAAGACAAUCGUGGUGUCACACGACGUUAGACGAGGUCAUGGUGUAUGGACGGAAGACAAUCGUGGUGUCACACGACGUUAGACGAGGUCAUGGUGUAUGGACGGAAGACAAUCGUGGUGUCACACGACGUUAGACGGGGUCAUGGUGUAUGGACGGAAGACAAUCGUGGUGUCACACGACGUUAGACGAGGUCAUGGUGUAUGGACGGAAGACAAUCGUGGUGUCACACGACGUUAGACGGGGCCAUGGUGUAUGGACGGAAGACAAUCGUGGUGUCACACAACGUUAGACGGGGCCAUGGUGUAUGGACGGAAGACAAUCGUGGUGUCACACAACGUUAGACGGGGUCAUGGUGUAUGGACGGAAGACAAUCGUGGUGUCACACGACGUUAGACGGGGCCAUGGUGUAUGGACGGAAGACAAUCGUGGUGUCACACAACGUUAGACGAGGUCAUGGUGUAUGGACGGAAGGAAUUCGUGGUGUCACACAACGUUAGACGGGGUCAUGGUGUAUGGACGGAAGGAAAUCGUGGUGUCACACAACGUUAGACGGGGUCAUGGUGUAUGGACAGAAGAAAAUGAGAUAAUGGCAAUCACGCACCUGUGGCAGUCGGACGAACAUUGCUCUGUUAUGGUUAAUGAUUAAUGAUUAGAUGUAGACUAGAGUAUUCUUGUCUGGAUAUAAAUAUGAUUACAAAUACCUAUACAUUGAUUUUUAUUGACAUAUGCCUGAUUAAGUAAUGUGUUCAUAUGUCAAAUACAUGUAUUAUCAUUGAUUGUGUACAGAUCUAUAAACUUAUCUUUGUAUAAUGAGUAGUCAUAUUAACAAUAAAAAUGUCACA